Molecule: ribosomal RNA, 274 nt
Filed under: uncultured bacterium
Lineage: Bacteria
Description: partial 16S ribosomal RNA
Rfam family: Bacterial small subunit ribosomal RNA
Source: RNAcentral
AUACGAAGGGGGCUAGCGUUGUUCGGAUUUACUGGGCGUAAAGCGCACGUAGGCGGAUUGAUUAGUUAGGGGUGAAAUCCCGAGGCUCAACCUCGGAACUGCCUUUAAUACUGUCAAUCUCGAGACCGGAAGAGGUGAGUGGAACUCCUAGUGUAGAGGUGGCAUUCGUAGAUAUUAGGAAGAACACCAGUGGCGAAGGCGGCUCACUGCUCCGGUACUGACGCUGAGGUGCGAAAGCGUGGGGAGCGAACAGGAUUAGAAACCCUAGUAGUCC